This 164-nucleotide ribosomal RNA is filed under the name Parietaria hespera var. hespera. RNAcentral's name for it is "5.8S ribosomal RNA". It matches the Rfam family "5.8S ribosomal RNA". Rfam says of the family: 5.8S ribosomal RNA (5.8S rRNA) is a component of the large subunit of the eukaryotic ribosome. It is transcribed by RNA polymerase I as part of the 45S precursor that also contains 18S and 28S rRNA. Functionally, it is thought that 5.8S rRNA may be involved in ribosome translocation. The record is from RNAcentral. Lineage: Eukaryota; Viridiplantae; Streptophyta; Magnoliopsida; Rosales; Urticaceae.
GUAACGACUCUCGGCAACGGAUAUCUCGGCUCUCGCAUCGAUGAAGAACGUAGCGAAAUGCGAUACUUGGUGUGAAUUGCAGAAUCCCGUGAACCAUCGAGUCUUUGAACGCAAGUUGCGCCCGAAGCCGCCAGGCCGAGGGCACGCCUGCCUGGGCGUCACGC